This 510-nucleotide small RNA is filed under the name uncultured fungus. Its description in RNAcentral is "eukaryotic LSU rRNA". The stretch from base 146 to 299 matches the Rfam family "5.8S ribosomal RNA". The record is from RNAcentral. Lineage: Eukaryota; Fungi.
CAGCGGGAUCGGCCGGCCACUGACCACACCCUUACUUUACGAGCACCUUUCGUUCUCCUUCGGCGGGGCGACCCGCCGCUGGAACCUCAUCACGAACCAUUUUUUUGCAUCUAGCAUUACCUGUUCUGAUAAAUAUAAUCGUUACAACUUUCAACAAUGGAUCUCUUGGUUCUGGCAUCGAUGAAGAACGCAGCGAAAUGCGAUAAGUAGUGUGAAUUGCAGAAUUCCGUGAACCAUCGAAUCUUUGAACGCACAUUGCGCCCCUUGGUAUUCCAUGGGGCAUACCUGUUCGAGCGUCAUUUAAAAUUUCAAGCUCAGCUUGGUGUUGGGUGUUUGUCCCGCCCCGCGCGCGGACUCGCCUCAAAAGCAUUGGCAGCCGGUACGUUGGCUUUGAGCGCAGCAGAUUUGCGUCUCGGUGCCUGGCGGACUGGUUCUCCAGAAGCCCCUUUAAAGUUUGACCUCGGAUCAGUAGGAUACCCGCUGAACUUAAGCAUAUCAAUAAGCGGAGGA